GCAUCGGCGAAGGGUUGUAAUAGUCCAAAUGGACCUACAACAUUGGGCCCUUUUCGUAGUUGUAUGUAGCCUAGUAGUUUUCGUUCGACGAGUGUGAGGAAUGCUAUGGCAGCUAAUGUGGGUAUGAUUAUAAGUAGGAGGUUUACUGUGGUCAUGGUGUUAAGAAGAGGAGUUGAACCUCUGGUUACAAAGUUUUAAGUUUUAUGCAAUUGCCGGGCUCUGCCAUCUUAACAAACCCUGUUUUCGGGUGGAAUGUGUGGUAUUUUGCUAAAUUAAGACUAGGUCAUUUAUGUAAUGAAGGCGCUUUGUGAAGUGGGCCUUAUUUCUCUUGUCCUUCGUACAGGGAGAAAUGUGCAAUAGAUAGAAACCGACCUGGAUUGCUCCGGUCUGAACUCAGAUCACGUAGGACUUUAAUCGUUGAACAAACGAACCCUUGAUAGCUGCUGCACCAUUAGGAUGUCCUGAUCCAACAUCGAGGUCGUAAGCUCUAUUGUCGAUAUGGACUCUAGAAUAGAAUUGCGCUGUUAUCCCUAGGGUAACUUGUUCCGUUGAUCAAAUUAUUGGAUCAAUUAUGAGUGUUAGUUCGCUUUGACUUGUGUGGUCUUAGCAUGUGUUAUUCGGAGGUUUUGUUGUGCUCCGAGGUCGCCCCAACCAAAAUUUUUAAUGCAGGUGCUAGUAGUUUAAAGGUCCGUGGGUUUGUGUGAUUUUUGGUUGCAUUAAUAGAUUAAAGCUCCAUAGGGUCUUCUCGUCUUAUUGUUUUAUGCCCGCCUCUUCACGGGCAGGUCAAUUUCACUGGUUAAAGGUAAGAGACAGUUAAACCUUCGUGGUGCCUUUCAUGCGAGUCCCUAUUUAAAGAACAAGUGAUUAUGCUACCUUUGCACGGUCAGGGUACCACGGCCGUUAAACGUGUGUCACUGGGCAGGCAGUGCCUCUAAUACUAGUAAUGCUAGAGGUGAUGUUUUUGGUAAACAGGGCGAGGUUUGGGUUUGCCGAGUUCCUUUUACUUUUUAACCUUUCCUUGGGGCAUGCCUGUGUUGGGUUAACAGUGAAGGUGGCAUGGGCUUGUUUGUGCUUGUUAUGCCUGGCUGUUAAAUAUCGGUGAGGCUUUCGGUCCGAUUUAGGCUUAUGCAGCGGAGAAAAUAUUCAUGUUACUUAUACUAGCAUUAUUGCUUCUAUAUGGUGAUAGAUUAAUCCAAUGUGGUGUGAGGAGUUCAGUUAUGUGUUUGGUAUUUUUGUGGUGGUUAGUGUUGAGCUUGAACGCUUUCUUAAUUGAUGGCUGCUUUUAAGCCAACUAUGGUGAUUGAGGGUUUUACUCUCUCCGUAAGGUUUUUUCCUAGUGUCUAAAGAGCUGUCCCUCUUUAGACUAGCAGUUAAGCUUACAGGGGGAUUAGGUAGUUCUAUAGGUAAGCUUAAGGUUGAACUAAGAUUCUGUCUUGGAUAACCAGCUAUCACCAGGCUCGGUAGGCUUGUCACCUCUACCCAGAAAUCUUCCCACUAUUUUGCCACAUAGGCGGGUGCGCUCUUUUAGCUGUUUUUGGGUAGCUCGUCUGGUUUCGGGGGAUUUGGCUUGUAGUCCUCUUCGUGAAAUUGUUUCUAGCUAAUUCAUUAUGCGAAAGGUACAGGAGUUAGUCCUUGCUGUUUUGUGCUUGGGUGGUUUUUACUUUUCCCUUACGGUACUAUGUCUAUAGCGCCAGGUUAAAAUUUCUAUCGCCUAUACUUUGUGUAGGUGAAUGGUUUAGUGUGUGUUGGUUUGGUAUUAGUGUUGGUUAUGCUUAGGGCUAGUAUUGGC
Macaca fascicularis (crab-eating macaque) is the source of this 1789-nucleotide long non-coding RNA. The record is from Ensembl. Lineage: Eukaryota; Metazoa; Chordata; Mammalia; Primates; Cercopithecidae.